CCUACGGGUGGCAGCAGUGGGGAAUAUUGCACAAUGGGGGAAACCCUGAUGCAGCGACGCCGCGUGAGUGAAGAAGGACUUCGGUACGUAAAGCUCUAUCAGCAGGGAAGAAAAUGACGGUACCUGGCAAAGAAGCCCCGGCUAACUACGUGCCAGCAGCCGCGGUAAUACGUAGGGGGCAAGCGUUGUGCGGAUUUACUGGGCGUAAAGGGAGCGUAGGCGGCAGCGGAAGUCUGGGGUGAAAUGCCAUGGCUUAACCAUGGAACUGCUAUGGUAACUGUGUAGCUGGAGUGCAGGAGAGGUAAGCGGAAUACCUAGUGUAGCGGUGAAAUGCGUAGAUAUUAGGUGGAACACCAGUGGCGAAGGCGGCUUACUGGCCUGUAACUGACGUUGAGGCUCGAAAGCGUGGGGAGCAAACAGGAUUAGAUACCCGAGUAGUC
RNAcentral lists this ribosomal RNA (440 nucleotides) under uncultured bacterium. RNAcentral describes it as "partial 16S ribosomal RNA". It matches the Rfam family "Bacterial small subunit ribosomal RNA", at positions 338 to 795 of the family's 1533-position model. The record is from RNAcentral.